AUUGAACGCUGGCGGCAUGCCUUACACAUGCAAGUCGAACGGCAGCACGGGUGCUUGCACCUGGUGGCGAGUGGCGAACGGGUGAGUAAUAUAUCGGAACGUACCUUAUUGUGGGGGAUAACGCAGCGAAAGCUGUGCUAAUACCGCAUAAUCCCUAAGGGGGAAAGCGGGGGACCGUAAGGCCUCGCGCAAUUAGAGCGGCCGAUACCUGAUUAGCUAGUUGGUGAGGUAAAGGCUCACCAAGGCAACGAUCAGUAGCUGGUAUGAGAGGACGAUCAGCCCACCUGGGACUGAGACACGGCCCAGACUCCUACGGGAGGCAGCAGUAGGUAAUUUUGGACAAUGGGGGCAACCCUGAUCCAGCAAUGCCGCGUGAGUGAAGAAGGCCUUCGUGUUGUAAAGCUCUUUUGUCAGGGAAGAAACAGCAGCUCUAACACAGUAUGCGAAUGACGGUACCUGGAGAAUAAGCACCGGCUAACUACGUGCCAGCAGCCGCAGUAA
This 501-nucleotide ribosomal RNA is filed under the name uncultured bacterium. RNAcentral's name for it is "partial 16S ribosomal RNA". It matches the Rfam family "Bacterial small subunit ribosomal RNA", at positions 30 to 523 of the family's 1533-position model. The record is from RNAcentral.